GAAGGAAUAAACACACAUAAAAUAAACUACGGCCACUAUGGCCUUCUCACUCAAGUGUCCUGGUGCGGCGUUGACUGGUGUAAAUGUUGACUCUCGUCUAGCGUCAAGUUUGCUGCGCUCAACGGAACAGCUGUUUUCUGGGGUAUUCGCCGUGCGUGCGUACCACGGCCUUGCGUAGCUUCAUUUCGGUUGUUGGCAGAGUCCACCAAAUGAUCGGAAAGAGAGCGUUCUGAGGUAUCUUUUAUCUAGAAGAGCGGCGAGAAACCGGCACGAGCGUCGAUCACGAAAGCCGGUGCAUGUCAUCAGAUAUUGAGGGACUGAUGUCACAGGUGGACAACGAACAUUACAUCUGAAUGAUAAUCUGAACAUCACAGGAUCGAAAUGCCACCCGCGGUUAAAAGUUCCACAAUGAAAUAGUUGCCCAAUUAUUUCGUCAGAAAUACCGUGGAAUGUUUCAUUUGUUAAGGGCUAUUCCUUCAUUUGUAAAGCUAGUGAUUUUAUUUGUGAUCCUUUGUGAACGAUUUGAGGUCUCUUCAUAUUAUGUUCAUGUUCUUAUUGCCUCUGUGUUAUGUAUGUGCAAGCUUUCAAGGAACUUUUUUCGAUCACUGUUUAUUAUUGUGCUUGAACCUUCUCAUUGCCCUUUUGCAUUAAAGGACUGCUUGAAUUC
Molecule: long non-coding RNA, 667 nt
Organism: Rhipicephalus microplus (southern cattle tick)
Lineage: Eukaryota; Metazoa; Arthropoda; Arachnida; Ixodida; Ixodidae
Source: RefSeq, a predicted model, not a curated record